This 1755-nucleotide long non-coding RNA is filed under the name Monodelphis domestica (gray short-tailed opossum). RNAcentral's name for it is "lncRNA (ENSMODG00000048999.1)". The record is from RNAcentral. Lineage: Eukaryota; Metazoa; Chordata; Mammalia; Didelphimorphia; Didelphidae.
AUGUCCUCUUUGCCCCAGUGUCCUAUGAAGAAGUGCCCAGGCCAACCCGCCUACAUGUGCCCGGGAUCUCUUCCCAUCUCUCCUGGUCUACUGGCUCCUUCACCCUUACCCAGCAUUCACUUGACCCUGCCGGCCCCCCAAGCCAUCCUCCCUCUCAGACUCCCAGAAGUUUCCUCCCUCCCCAAAGCCUUGGAAUCUGGCUUUGGACCUGCCUGUUGUCAGGUCACCACCAUCCUCUUUACUGCUGAUUCCAGUGGCAUUUCCAUCGUCCCCAACCCCCUUGCCAUCUCUCCUCCUUGGACGCCAUUGGUGCCUUCUCCUCCUGGACACUCCUUCCAGACUGGGGUCCUGCUCUGGCUCCCUUCUUCUCCUCCUUGGACGCCAUUGGUGCCUUCUCCCGGAUACUCCUUCCAGACUGGGGUCCUGCUCUGGCUCCCUUCUUCUCCUCCUUGGACACCUUUGGUGCCUUCUCCUCUUGGAUACUCCUUCCAGACUGGGGUCCUGCUCUGGCUCCCUUCUUCUCCUCCUUGGACACCUUUGGUGCCUUCUCCUCUUGGAUACUCCUUCCAGACUGGGGUCCUGCUCUGGCUCCCUUCUUCUCCUCCUUGGACACCUUUGGUGCCUUCUCCUCUUGGAUACUCCAUCCAGACUGGGGUCCUGCUCUGGCUCCCUUCUUCUCCUCCUUGGACGCCAUUGGUGCCUUCUCCCGGAUACUACUUCCACACUGGGGUCCUGCUCUGGCUCCCUUCUUCUCCUCCUUGGACACCUUUGGUGCCUUCUCCUCUUGGAUACUCCUUCCAGACUGGGGUCCUGCUCUGGCUCCCUUCUCCUCCUCCUUGGACACCUUUGGUGCCUUCUCCUCUUGGAUACUCCUUCCAGACUGGGGUCCUGCUCUGGCUCCCUUCUUCUCCUCCUUGGACACCUUUGGUGCCUUCUCCUCUUGGAUACUCCAUCCAGACUGGGGUCCUGCUCUGGCUCCCUUCUUCUCCUCCUUGGACGCCACUGGUGCCUUCUCCUCCUGGAUACUCCUUCCAGACCGGGGUCCUGCUCUGGCUCCUUGCUCCUCCUCCUUGGACACCUUUGGUGCCUUCUCCUCUUGGAUACUCCUUCCAGACUGGGGUCCUGCUCUGGCUCCCUUCUUCUCCUCCUUGGACACCUUUGGUGCCUUCUCCUCUUGGAUACUCCUUCCAGACUGGGGUCCUGCUCUGGCUCCCUUCUUCUCCUCCUUGGACACCUUUGGUGCCUUCUCCUCUUGGAUACUCCUUCCAGACUGGGGUCCUGCUCUGGCUCCCUUCUUCUCCUCCUUGGACACCUUUGGUGCCUUCUCCUCUUGGAUACUCCAUCCAGACUGGGGUCCUGCUCUGGCUCCCUUCUUCUCCUCCUUGGACGCCACUGGUGCCUUCUCCUCUUGGAUACUCCUUCCAGACCGGGGUCCUGCUCUGGCUCCUUGCUCCUCCUCCUCACUGCUCUUUCCCAGUGUCUGUUGCUAGGCUGUAUCCUUAUUCAUGCCAUACCAUCUCCCCUAGCUGUGGGUUCCCACCGAGGCUCUUCUCUGGGCCACCGUCCUGGCGAUUUCAUCUCCCGACUCCCCCAGCUGUUGAUGCUCCCCUCCAGGCCAGCUCCUUUCAUUGCCUCCAUUUGCCUACCUCCUUGUCUGCCCAUGAAGGGUCUCCCCCAAUGGGCGGGAAGCUCCUUGAGGCCAGGGGCUGCCAUCUUUGUCUUUCUGCACCUGGCACAGCACGUAGGACAAGUUGA